UCGGGUGACGAGUGGCGGACGGGUGAGUAAUGUCUGGGAAACUGCCUGAUGGAGGGGGAUAACUACUGGAAACGGUAGCUAAUACCGCAUAACGUCGCAAGACCAAAGAGGGGGACCUUCGGGCCUCUUGCCAUCAGAUGUGCCCAGAUGGGAUUAGCUAGUAGGUGGGGUAACGGCUCACCUAGGCGACGAUCCCUAGCUGGUCUGAGAGGAUGACCAGCCACACUGGAACUGAGACACGGUCCAGACUCCUACGGGAGGCAGCAGUGGGGAAUAUUGCACAAUGGGCGCAAGCCUGAUGCAGCCAUGCCGCGUGUAUGAAGAAGGCCUUCGGGUUGUAAAGUACUUUCAGCGGGGAGGAAGGUGUUGUGGUUAAUAACCACAGCAAUUGACGUUACCCGCAGAAGAAGCACCGGCUAACUCCGUGCCAGCAGCCGCGGUAAUACGGAGGGUGCAAGCGUUAAUCGGAAUUACUGGGCGUAAAGCGCACGCAGGCGGUCUGUCAAGUCGGAUGUGAAAUCCCCGGGCUCAACCUGGGAACUGCAUUCGAAACUGGCAGGCUAGAGUCUUGUAGAGGGGGGUAGAAUUCCAGGUGUAGCGGUGAAAUGC
Molecule: ribosomal RNA, 609 nt
Filed under: Enterobacter sp.
Lineage: Bacteria; Pseudomonadati; Pseudomonadota; Gammaproteobacteria; Enterobacterales; Enterobacteriaceae
Description: bacterial SSU rRNA
Rfam family: Bacterial small subunit ribosomal RNA
Source: RNAcentral